AACGAACGCUGGCGGCAUGCCUAACACAUGCAAGUCGAACGAGACCUUCGGGUCUAGUGGCGCACGGGUGCGUAACGCGUGGGAACCUGCCCUUAGGUUCGGAAUAACUCCCCGAAAGGGGUGCUAAUACCGGAUAAUGUCUUCGGACCAAAGAUUUAUCGCCUUUGGAUGGGCCCGCGUUGGAUUAGCUAGUUGGUAGGGUAAAAGCCUACCAAGGGGACGAUCCAUAGCUGGUCUGAGAGGAUGAUCAGCCACACUGGGACUGAGACACGGCCCAGACUCCUACGGGAGGCAGCAGUGGGGAAUGUUGGACAAUGGGCGAAAGCCUGAUCCAGCAAUGCCGCGUGAGUGAUGAAGGCCUUAGGGUUGUAAAGCUCUUUUACCCGGGAUGAUAAUGACAGUACCGGGAGAAUAAGCUCCGGCUAACUCCGUG
RNAcentral lists this ribosomal RNA (433 nucleotides) under uncultured bacterium. RNAcentral's name for it is "partial 16S ribosomal RNA". It matches the Rfam family "Bacterial small subunit ribosomal RNA", at positions 29 to 507 of the family's 1533-position model. The record is from RNAcentral.